GGGAGCGGGGCACGGCGGGGCCGGGCCGCCCCGGGGCUCAGCCCCGUCCCCGUCCCUGUCCCGCCCCGCCGCCGUCCUCCUGAGGAGAGGGCGCCGGGAGAGCCCCUCCGGCGCGAUCCUCCCGCCGGGGGAAGGUGGAGGGAGGCGGCGGACACGAGGAGGAGAGCGGCGACCCCGGCCUGGGGCUGAGGGCCGGGGGUGCAGGCUCAGCCUGGCCCCCGCGGGGAGCGGGGUUUGCUCUGGGGGAGCCCCCUCCUUGCUCCGGCCCCCUGGGGUCGCGGAGGUGCCAGCAGCUCGGCCCCAAAAGCUGCUGGGGGGGACGAGGGUGGGCACCGUGCUGUGGGGUACAGCGGGACACGCACCCUCCGGUUUUGGUCCUUUAUCCUGUAAAGCUGGGGGAGAUUCUGCUCGCUAGACUGUCGUGGUUUGGGUUUCGCUGUUUCAGCGGAAGGGAAAGCUGAUAGCUCCCCGUCAGCGGUCACAGAACGAGCUCGCUGCAGCCUGCUCGCGCCACCCUGCUCUGCACGAGGCCUUCUCAGAGGAAGCAAUGAAACCCCCGUAAGCAAUCUGGGUCAUUCCAGACUAAGGAAGUCUGUUGAUGCCAGUCUUUCAGGCACUGCUCUCGGGCUGACGUGCUGAGAUAGUCAACUGUGCAAGUUAAAAGGAAGGAAAUGGCUAAAAAGCUUCCUGGCACCUUCCCCGCUCCCUGCUGGAUCCCCCCACUGUGCCUGUGAUCACGGUGCAGCCAUUGCAGGACGCCCUGCUCCGUCCGUGCCCACACGCCUUGGGGCAGGGCACCAGGUGUCCCCAGCCUGCGGCAGGCAUCCAGGCAGCCGUGGCUUCUGCCUGCCAGAUGUGCUGCGGUCGGCGUGGGUAGGUGAUGCGAGUCCUCCACACCUCUCCCCCACCCAGGGCUUCGGCCUCUCAGUGGAGGGAGGGGAGAGGAAGGAUGGAGGGGUGGCAGCAGGGGGGAGCAACACGGGGCUCCUGAUCAAAGCCAUCUGCUAGCAGGCAGGGGGCAAAGGGAGGAGGAGGGCAACACGCUUCUGACCCAUCCACAGAAAACAAGGGAGAGGAGUGUUGUGAAAUAAUGUAGUUUCUCCAUGAGCUGCCUUCCACAAAGGCUUCAGAGUUGAUUCUUGGUUUUCGUGCCCUGCUGCAGCCCUGUAUAAUGCUCCUCUUGAGGCAGCUUCUGCCCCGAAGAUAAGCAAAGCUGUGGGGAGGUGCAGAGGUGGGGGAGAGGCUGCGGGUAAGAAGAAAAGGGAGGCCAACUCCGGUUGAGUGAGGGUGCUGGGUGCUGUGCUGCUCUCACACAAGCUGUGCUGUGUCUGAUCUUCAGCCCCUCUCACCACCAGUAGCUGAGCUGCAGCCUCAGGAAGGGCAGGAAGCAGAAGCGGGCUGUUGAGUAACAUUUGGUACAGAGAGGAUUUGGGGAGGGGGAAUUGCAUGUGAGGCAUUACCAGAGCAUGACAGAGCAAAUCCAGGUGAACUGCAAUGCUCUCCCCUGCAGGGCCCCUCAGUGCCUGUCCUGACCUUUCGUGCCAGUCCUGCUGUCAACCCACACAUGCAUCUCCUGAGCCUCUUCUGGUCACAGGGGUGAGGCAAAUGUGAUGUGAAAUGCAGCUAGAUAGCGUUAAAAUGCUGCUUGCAGUUUUAGGUCCCGAGUUUUAAGCAGUGCGGUUGUUUUCUUAAUGUUUGUGGAUGAUUUUGAAUACUCUCAGUCAAUGUGGAAGCAAGAGUGUGGAAUGUAAAGGUUUCCCCACAGUCCUGGGACCCUCCAGAUAAUUAUUGUAGGGAAGGAUUUGAUGAUGCCAUUAAAUAGAUUAAUACAUUUAAAUGCUUGCCAAUAAAACCAUCACCAGCUACCAAAA
This is a long non-coding RNA of Cygnus olor (mute swan), 1871 nucleotides long. RefSeq lists it as uncharacterized. Lineage: Eukaryota; Metazoa; Chordata; Aves; Anseriformes; Anatidae. The transcript has 2 exons. The record is from RefSeq and is a predicted model, not a curated record.